This is a long non-coding RNA of Carassius gibelio (silver crucian carp), 757 nucleotides long. RefSeq lists it as uncharacterized. NCBI's taxonomy places the organism in Eukaryota, Metazoa, Chordata, Actinopteri, Cypriniformes, Cyprinidae. The record is from RefSeq and is a predicted model, not a curated record. The transcript is spliced from 4 exons.
AGUUACAAACUGUGUUUCAUGGCGUUUUAAUAUGUCAGCAUUUCACCGGGAGCGAAUAAAGGAGGAGAAACUGCAGGAACACAGGGAGUGUCUGAGGAUAAUGCUCCAGGAAGAGAGAGACCAGCUGGAGGCUGAGCUCAGAAAUGUUCAUCCAGACAGAGCCACACUGACCAGACAGCUGCUGGAAAACACAGAUGCUCUUCAGUCUGCCAGAGAAGAGAGGAGGAAAAAUUUUGACUUGCACAGGAGCUGCUGAGGGAAAAGUGGAACUGCGGAAGGUGGAGCAGAGGCGCAGGGAACAGUGGGAGGAGCAGAGAUGACAAGAGCAAGCAGAACUACAAGAGAGGGAGGAGCUUAGACAUCAGGAGGAGGAGCUUCAUUUUGAGACAGAGAGACUGAUUCGACACAGGGCUACAGCAGAGAAUUUACAGCAGGCCUCGGUCAGCAUGGACAUGAGAGCGAUUCACAGGAAGAGUCUUUGUGCCACAUCCCCUUUUCAGUUUUUCAUUCAGAAUCGGGGAUAUCUAUGUCCACAUUGAUCCCAGCCACUUUGUGUUUAAAUGAGAACCAGGUUCCCCGUCAGAGAUGCUUUGUAUAUAUGUUAAUGAUUUACAUUAUGGCUAUGCUAGAUGAUUGUAUAGUUAAGUUCUCGAUCUUGAAUUUCCAUUGCACUAGUGCUGAGGUUUGCAUAUAGGUCUGGUUUUAUAUGACUGAUUUAUAUGGAUGAAUUUCAAUGCUGACGCCUUUUUUAAUAUAA